AGCCUCUAAAGUUGAUAAUUUCUUACAGAAAAAGAACAAACACAUCAUCAUAAUAGAAUUAUAGUAGUAACUAUCAAAUUAGAAUCUAAAAAAAAUAAUAUCUACUAUAGUCUAUAGUAGGAUAUAUGUAAGUAAAAGUUAUCUUGCUGUAUGUAGUGUUAGUUUUCGGAAAUUAUGAAUUACUGAAUUAUGUUUGAAAAUCUAUGUGGAGGGCUAAGCCUCCCACAGAUUGGGUUGAGUCUAAUAAUUGCAAGGAACACUCAUUUUUUGUUUUUUAGUCCCUCAUCAUUUAUUUUAUCAAUUUGAGCACUGAAUUGUAACCUGAUAGUUGGACUCGGACAGUAGAUGCAGGUAUAUUGGCCUCUUAAUUGAAUGAUGGUGUAUUCUAUUAUUACUAUUUU
This is a non-coding RNA of Cinara cedri, 401 nucleotides long. Lineage: Eukaryota; Metazoa; Arthropoda; Insecta; Hemiptera; Aphididae. The record is from the annotation of a GenBank genome assembly.